UGCCUACGGGAGGCUGCAGUCGAGAAUCUUCGGCAAUGGGCGCAAGCCUGACCGAGCGACGCCGCGUGUGGGAUGAAGGCCUUCGGGUUGUAAACCACUGUCAGAGGGGAUGAAAUGCAGGUGGGUUCUCCCAUCUGUUUGACAUAGCCUCAGAGGAAGGACGGGCUAAGUUCGUGCCAGCAGCCGCGGUAAGACGAACCGUCCAAACGUUAUUCGGAAUCACUGGGCUUAAAGGGUGCGUAGGCGGCGCGGAAAGUUGGGUGUGAAAUCCCUCGGCUCAACCGAGGAACUGCGCCCAAAACUACCGUGCUCGAGGGAGAUAGAGGUGAGCGGAACUUAGGGUGGAGCGGUGAAAUGCGUUGAUAUCCUAAGGAACACCGGUGGCGAAAGCGGCUCACUGGAUCUCUUCUGACGCUGAUGCACGAAAGCUAGGGUAGCGAACGGGAUUAGACCUGGUAGUC
This 461-nucleotide ribosomal RNA is filed under the name uncultured bacterium. RNAcentral's name for it is "bacterial SSU rRNA". It matches the Rfam family "Bacterial small subunit ribosomal RNA", at positions 335 to 795 of the family's 1533-position model. The record is from RNAcentral.